UGCCAGCCGCCGCGGUAAGACGGAGGGUGCUAGCGUUGUUCGGAAUGACUGGGCGUAAAGGGCGCGUAGGCGGUUUUGUUAGUCAGGCGUGAAAGCCCCGGGCUCAACCCGGGAACUGCGUUUGAUACUGCAAGACUUGAGGACGGAAGAGGAAAGUGGAAUUCCCAGUGUAGAGGUGAAAUUCGUAGAUAUUGGGAGGAACACCAGUGGCGAAGGCGGCUUUCUGGACCGAUACUGACGCUGAGACGCGAAAGUGUGGGGAGCAAACAGGAUUAGAUA
RNAcentral lists this ribosomal RNA (279 nucleotides) under uncultured bacterium. RNAcentral's name for it is "partial 16S ribosomal RNA". It matches the Rfam family "Bacterial small subunit ribosomal RNA", at positions 506 to 784 of the family's 1533-position model. The record is from RNAcentral.